RNAcentral lists this ribosomal RNA (458 nucleotides) under uncultured Sphingobacteriales bacterium. RNAcentral's name for it is "bacterial SSU rRNA". It matches the Rfam family "Bacterial small subunit ribosomal RNA", at positions 920 to 1382 of the family's 1533-position model. Lineage: Bacteria; Pseudomonadati; Bacteroidota; Sphingobacteriia; Sphingobacteriales. The record is from RNAcentral.
CCCGCACAAGCGGAGGAACAUGUGGUUUAAUUCGAUGAUACGCGAGGAACCUUACCUGGGCUUAAAUGGGGAGUGACAGCUGUCGAAAGAUGGUUUCUUCGGACACUCUUCAAGGUGCUGCAUGGUUGUCGUCAGCUCGUGCCGUGAGGUGUCGGGUUAAGUCCCAUAACGAGCGCAACCCUUACCGUUAGUUACCAUCAGGUUAAGCUGGGGACUCUAGCGGGACUGCCACCGUAAGGUGAGAGGAAGGUGGGGAUGACGUCAAAUCAGCACGGCCCUUAUGUCCAGGGCUACACACGUGUUACAAUGGCCGGUACAAAGGGCAGCUACUUCGCGAGAAGAUGCUAAUCUCGAAAGCCGGUCUCAGUUCGGAUCGAAGUCUGCAACUCGACUGCGUGAAGUCGGAAUCGCUAGUAAUCGCGGAUCAGCAUGUCGCGGUGAAUACGUUCCCGGGUCUU